Pochonia chlamydosporia 170 is the source of this 97-nucleotide transfer RNA. It matches the Rfam family "tRNA". From Rfam's summary of the family: Transfer RNA (tRNA) molecules are approximately 80 nucleotides in length. Their secondary structure includes four short double-helical elements and three loops (D, anti-codon, and T loops). The record is from Rfam. NCBI's taxonomy places the organism in Eukaryota, Fungi, Ascomycota, Sordariomycetes, Hypocreales, Clavicipitaceae.
AACCGGGUAGUUUAAUGGUAGCGCGUCUGGCUACAACAAGUAUUAUUAUAACAUUCUUGGUAGUUAGGAGAUGCAGGUUUAAGUCCUGUCCCGGUUA